RNAcentral lists this ribosomal RNA (394 nucleotides) under uncultured Ehrlichia sp. Its description in RNAcentral is "bacterial SSU rRNA". It matches the Rfam family "Bacterial small subunit ribosomal RNA", at positions 62 to 484 of the family's 1533-position model. Lineage: Bacteria; Pseudomonadati; Pseudomonadota; Alphaproteobacteria; Rickettsiales; Anaplasmataceae. The record is from RNAcentral.
UCAAUUAUUUUAAUACCUCUGGCUAUAGGAAAUUGUUAGUGGCAGACAGGUGAGUAAUGCGUAGGAAUCUACCNUAGUAGUACGGAAUAGCCAUUAGAAAUGGUGGGUAAUACUGUAUAAUCCCCGAGGGGGAAAGAUUUAUCGCUAUUAGAUGAGCCCACGUUAGAUUAGCUAGUUGGUGAGGUAAUGGCUUACCAAGGCUAUGAUCUAUAGCUGGUCUGAGAGGACGAUCAGCCACACUGGAACUGAGAUACGGUCCAGACUCCUACGGGAGGCAGCAGUGGGGAAUAUUGGACAAUGGGCGAAAGCCUGAUCCAGCUAUGCCGCGUGAGUGAAGAAGGCCUCCGGGUUGUAAAACUCUUUCAAUAGGGAAGAUAAUGCCGGGUACCUAUAA